GUCAAGCUCCAGCCAUGCGCCGCGCUGGAGGACGCGCCGUCGAGCUUCAGGCUGUCCCGCGUCGACAGGCUCCCCUCCCGUGUGAACUGGAUCACUGCGGACUGCUGGUGCCCCUGUGUGAUUUGGUUGCUUCUACUACGCUUUCUGGAUCUUAUGAAGAAGGGUCCAUUUAAUGGAGUAGAGGUUGAAGCAUCAGGGAGCAAUGGACACAAGGUAGAUAAGCAUCCUAUGCUUGAAAGGAAAUCUAAAUCGAUACCUGAAGAUUGUAAACGGAAACAAGAAGCUCAGAUAAAGCCAAAGACACGGGGGUUCCAAGGCAGCUUGCGUUCUACGGAAGCCGGGAUCUGCUGAUCUACAGCCGGAGCGACGUCAGUAUGCUAUGCAGUUUGCAGCACUGUGCAUGUUGUGCCGACUCCUGAUGUGUACACAAAUUGCUCAACUUUAUCUCAUAGAUUUGUAGGCAAUUAUUUUGUCUCAACGUUGAGUUUGAUCUAUGCAGAAUUAGACAGGAACAAGGCAAACAGUGUAAAAUACUCUAUAUGCUGACGAGAAGCUACAUGUGGUUUAUUUGCACUUCACGUCUUCUGAAGGAUUAAUUGGUAUACUUUGGGAUCAAGUAGCACAAAGAUAGCACAGGCAGCACAAGGUGUGUAUUUACAAUCAGCUACACAAGGUGUGUAUUUACAGCCACAGCAGAUGCGAGUUAACAGUGUGAUGCAGAAAUUAACACUUGCACUUCAAUAGAUUAAUGACUUCUAAUUCUUGACGUUGUAUUUUUCUUCUGUAAGCUAUAAAGCAGGUGGUUUUUUUUUUGUUAUGUAUUGUGGUAGAUUGCACAAUCCAUGCUACUGCCCAAAU
Long non-coding RNA from Lolium rigidum, 858 nucleotides. RefSeq lists it as uncharacterized. The transcript has 4 exons. Lineage: Eukaryota; Viridiplantae; Streptophyta; Magnoliopsida; Poales; Poaceae. The record is from RefSeq and is a predicted model, not a curated record.